This 613-nucleotide long non-coding RNA is filed under the name Olea europaea subsp. europaea. The record is from RNAcentral. Lineage: Eukaryota; Viridiplantae; Streptophyta; Magnoliopsida; Lamiales; Oleaceae.
GCUUCUUCUUCUACAACUAGUUUUUGUUCUGCGACUUUGCCAUAUAAGAAGCCUCGGUUUCAUCGGUUCCUUCAAGUGAGAUCCCAAAGCUACGGUGAAGAAGGUAAAAUUUACGCGUCCCUCGUUUGACAACACGAAUCUUGAUAUCUUAUGAUUCGUUUGAGCAUUAUGGGCAACUUGUCUGAGUAGUAGUUCAACCCUUAUAUGUUCGAUAUGGGAUUUAUCCUUAACAUUUCUUCUUGUUCUUGGUCGUCUUAAAAAUCAAUGUUUAGUUGUUUCUUUCUGUACUUUCCUUUGACAGGGAAAUCAAGAGACAUUGUUGAUGUGAAUCUGUGCAUUCUGAGGGAAAGGAUACAAGAAAUCAGAGUAAAAGAAAGACUCGAAAAUUGCUGUGUAGCUAAGCAAGGAUGGAAUUAUGCACAUGCCUAUAAUUAUAAACGCAAAAGAGAUGCACAGUUUUCUGUCUUUCUCCAAAUUAUUGGCAUAGUUUGCGGGACUUUUAGCCUCGUACUUGCGUGUUGUACUCUUUGCCUCUGCUUAUUUUCCCUUUUAGUUCAUCUCCAUUAAUGAACUGCUGCUCUAUAGUAAUAAAUAUCUUUGUUUAGAAUCACUA